GAUCCUGGCUCAGGAUGAACGCUAGCUACAGGCUAACACAUGCAAGUCGAGGGGCAGCAUGACGGAAGCUGCUCAGUGAUGGCGACCGGCGCACGGGUGAGUAACGCGUAUCCAACCUGGCCCUUAGUAGGGGAUAGCCCGGCGAAAGUUGGAUUAAUACCCUAUGUUUUCCAAUGAGGACAUCUGAGCUGGAACAAAGGUUUACCGCUAAGGGAUGGGGAUGCGUCUGAUUAGGUAGUAGGCGGGGUAACGGCCCACCUAGCCGACGAUCAGUAGGGGUUCUGAGAGGAAGGUCCCCCACAUUGGUACUGAGACACGGACCAAACUCCUACGGGAGGCAGCAGUGAGGAAUAUUGGUCAAUGGACGAGAGUCUGAACCAGCCAAGUAGCGUGCAGGAAUGACUGCCCUAUGGGUUGUAAACUGCUUUUAUGCGGGAAUAAAGUGAGGCACGUGUGCCUUUUUGUAUGUACCGCAUGAAUAAGGACCGGCUAAUUCCGUGCCAGCCGCCGC
Molecule: ribosomal RNA, 511 nt
Filed under: uncultured bacterium
Lineage: Bacteria
Description: bacterial SSU rRNA
Rfam family: Bacterial small subunit ribosomal RNA
Source: RNAcentral